AUAAACUUCUCUUCGCUUUUCCUUUUUGAUUACAGCUGUAAACAAGACCGAAAACAACUUUGAGACAACAUAAAUUGUAUGCGGAUGCAAACCAAAUACUUUGAUUUGGUAUUGACAUUGUUUCAAUGUUAUCUAAAAAAGAAUGCUUACAUUUUUGUAAUGAUAGACAUUAAUAUAAAGGAACACCCGUUAUGAUGGGUGAUGACAGUUUCAGAUGAUGUCUCCAGUUCCCUCUCUGAAGAACUUGCUCAGAAUUCUGGGUACCUGUGGCUCUAACAGUUCAUUAAUGUGACACCUGAUCUGUUCCUUCAAGCAUUUACAAUGGCAGUAGAUAUGGUAUGCUUUCCAUGAUCUGCUAAAAUUUUAUAUUCACAUCAAACUCAGAAUCAGAACUUUUGCCCAUUGCUUGUUUGAUUUAAAGAGAGGGAAGGGGCUGAAUCCAAGUAGGUAAGUUGUCAAUGUCUCUUACCAGAAUCUGACAGCACCUUAAACCUUUGAU
RNAcentral lists this long non-coding RNA (499 nucleotides) under Musa acuminata (dwarf banana). RNAcentral's name for it is "long non-coding RNA (MACU_LNC005474)". The record is from RNAcentral. Lineage: Eukaryota; Viridiplantae; Streptophyta; Magnoliopsida; Zingiberales; Musaceae.